GUAGUUCAGCUGGUUAGAAUGCCGCCCUGUCACGGCGGAGGUCGCGGGUUCGAGCCCCGUCCGCUGCGCCA
RNAcentral lists this transfer RNA (71 nucleotides) under Campylobacter coli. Its description in RNAcentral is "tRNA-Asp". It matches the Rfam family "tRNA". Rfam says of the family: Transfer RNA (tRNA) molecules are approximately 80 nucleotides in length. Their secondary structure includes four short double-helical elements and three loops (D, anti-codon, and T loops). RNAcentral also lists the same sequence under 1 other name. Lineage: Bacteria; Pseudomonadati; Campylobacterota; Epsilonproteobacteria; Campylobacterales; Campylobacteraceae. The record is from RNAcentral.